AUGGUCUCAUCAAUGUGCAACAAUUGAACUGGAUUUCCAACUUCCUGAGAGAUUCAACCUCACGCUAGGAUUUUAUGGCUUUCUCCCCAUCAAGUUGUAGUAAUUCCUGUCAGUAGUAAAUAUGAUGAUUAUGCCGAACCGGUAAAUUUAAUUUGAUUCAAAAGAAGUUCCAUGCAGCUGGUUAUCGUGUUGAUACAGACUUGGAUCACGGAUCAACACUAAAUAAGAAAGUUCGCAAUGCACAACUUUCACAGUACAACUUCAUUCUUGUUGUUGGUGAAAAGAGACGGUCUCAGACACGGUCAACGUCAGAACACGUGACAACAAAGUACUCGGUGAAAAAUCGGUCAUGGCCGUGAUCGAACGCUUGCGAGAUUUAGUCAUCUCACGAAGUCUGACAAGCGAA
Xenia sp. Carnegie-2017 is the source of this 406-nucleotide long non-coding RNA. RefSeq lists it as uncharacterized. The record is from RefSeq and is a predicted model, not a curated record. NCBI's taxonomy places the organism in Eukaryota, Metazoa, Cnidaria, Anthozoa, Malacalcyonacea, Xeniidae. The transcript is spliced from 4 exons.